Alligator mississippiensis (American alligator) is the source of this 1952-nucleotide long non-coding RNA. RefSeq lists it as uncharacterized. The transcript is spliced from 2 exons. The record is from RefSeq and is a predicted model, not a curated record. Lineage: Eukaryota; Metazoa; Chordata; Crocodylia; Alligatoridae.
GGAGGCUGUCCGGAAGAGGCUGGGUCCGCACAGGUCCCUCAGGAGGUUGGAUUAGGUGACUUGGAAGGUCCCUGCCAACUCCAGAGCUCGUAUUUGCCCCCUCCCUCUCCCCUCUUUUGCCUACACCUUGUCUCCCGCGCCAUAGGCGUUACACCACACUGUUUACCGCAGGCUGCAGCUGGAAGACCUUGGGGAGCUCACCAUCCCAGUAGCACAGGGUCAUCCAGCCUGGUGCUACCACAGUAACCAAUGGUCUCAUUAAAACUUGCAGGUUUGCAGCUUCAGAAGACUUUCAGCACUGGUCCUACUCAAAAAGCUCCCACUUCCAUAAAUUGAUGAAGAUGAUGUAGCAAGUAGCAGAAAGCCUGCUAAAGUUAACUUCAUAAUAACCAAAUCUUUGGCUAAAAAGCACCUUGGACCUGGAGUUUAUGACUUGAGAAGACAGUUGUUACUGAAUUAAAGGAAACAUUCCCAUGCUGUCAACAGACUUACAUUUCUGCUGAAAUAUUUUCCAGAGAAAAUAGUUUGCUUCCUUUACUUGGAUAAAUAAAAAGAAGUUGAGGUGGUUAGGGUUGCUAAUGACAGUGUGUUGUGGUAGCCAAACACUGGGAGAAAUUAUGUAGGGGGUAUAGUACAAAGUAUGGUUAGUUAUGCAUUAGAAAUUGUCAUGCAUCUUUGUACUCUCUAGUCCUGUUGCUUUUAAAUGCAGCGUACUCUGCCUACCCAGCUGCUGUGAUCUUACCUGAUUUCAGGAGCUCAUGUAGAUCAGGGUGUUUCAGGCUAGAAAUGCAAAAAGCUGCACUGGGAGUUUGGCAGAUAGUCCUCCACCUUAGUGAUUAGCCAGUAGCCUAGCAUGGUGAUUUGGUAUGCUGUGUUGUGCAAGGGUGCUGCUUUUCAGAAGAGGAGUGAACUGGAAGACCUGGACUCCUUUGGCUAACAGAAUUGCCAGAGCAUUGUUUCCUAAGUGCAGUGUUUUAUCCCAUGACCAACUCAAAUACCACAGGUAAUUGUAUUCGAUCUCUCCAGAUUUGCCCUGCAUUUCCAGUUGGACAGAAAAAUUCUGACACUUGUAUUAAAGGACUGUAAAAGGAAUAGAUACAAUUGGCUGCUUCUUUUAAUAAAGGUGGAACAGGCACUGUCAGGAUCUUUGAAGAGACAAAUUCUUCUGACAACAGUGGUGGCAUGGGCUUUGCCUAUAUAAAGCUUUUUUUUUGGAAAUCUUCCACCUAUUGAUACAGCUGGUCCAUUUUCACCACUGGGGGCAACAGAGGGAAAGGCCACUUAAAUGCAGUACUGGCAACUGAAAGGGGUUGAACCAUAUCUAGAUGAGAAACCAUUGCUUCCUUGCUGGUACAAUGUUGCUGAAACAGUCAUGGUAAUCAUGGGAAUUCUUUUGACAUGGAAAUCCAAUAUAGAGAUGCCUGCCUCCAGGCCUCACACCAUUCAUUAUCAUUUCCUAUCCUUUACAGGUGUGCGCUAGAGCAAAAGUGCCUGUUUUUCAGCAACAGGUCACGUGUCCCUUUUGUGACCUUUACUCAGGGUGGGUAGUGAGAGGUUUAUUAGGCAUUAAGUGAGGUAAGGUUUGUGACCAUCAUCUUGAGCUCACUUGGUGUCAUGAUAUGGAAGCACAAUGUUAAUUUUAUUAAGCCUCAUAUACUUCACAAGAGGCUGAGCAAGACACCAAAUCAUUAAUUUAACUGAUCUUUCCCAGAAAAUCAGAAGCCUGACUUCAUAGCUUAGUACAUUUACAGUCCUGCAAAUUGUAUUAAUUGAAUCCUUUUUUUGUUUGGCUGGGGAAAAUUGAUUAUGCAGGUAAUGUCAAUAUUUUUCAUGCAACUCAGUCUCCUUGGCACUCUUUAAAUAUUACUACUGCUUUUUAAAGAUUUUAGUCAGUGACUAAAAGUAAUUGUAAAAUGACUGCAGUAAAACAGCAAUAAAUUAACCUUUCCCUA